RNAcentral lists this ribosomal RNA (433 nucleotides) under uncultured bacterium. Its description in RNAcentral is "partial 16S ribosomal RNA". It matches the Rfam family "Bacterial small subunit ribosomal RNA", at positions 29 to 507 of the family's 1533-position model. The record is from RNAcentral.
AACGAACGCUGGCGGCAGGCCUAACACAUGCAGGUCGAGCGGACCUUUCGGGGUCAGCGGCGGACGGGUGAGUAACGCGUGGGAAUAUGCCCUUCUCUACGGAAUAGUCCUGGGAAACUGGGGGUAAUACCGUAUACGCCCUUUGGGGGAAAGAUUUAUCGGGGAAGGAUUAGCCCGCGUUGGAUUAGGUAGUUGGUGGGGUAAUGGCCUACCAAGCCGACGAUCCAUAGCUGGUUUGAGAGGAUGAUCAGCCACACUGGGACUGAGACACGGCCCAGACUCCUACGGGAGGCAGCAGUGGGGAAUCUUAGACAAUGGGGGCAACCCUGAUCUAGCCAUGCCGCGUGAGUGAUGAAGGCCUUAGGGUUGUAAAGCUCUUUCAGCUGGGAAGAUAAUGACGGUACCAGCAGAAGAAGCCCCGGCUAACUCCGUG